Molecule: long non-coding RNA, 855 nt
Filed under: Lactuca sativa (garden lettuce)
Lineage: Eukaryota; Viridiplantae; Streptophyta; Magnoliopsida; Asterales; Asteraceae
Description: long non-coding RNA (LSAT_LNC002047)
Source: RNAcentral
AUCUUUUUCAUGGUCAUGGUGGAGUGAUUAAACAUACCGCUGUUGAAGACCUUGUUAAAUCUAGCAUCUUUCCCAUGGUACUCAAAAGCUGUCAUGCCAUACGCCUUGUUGAAUGGAAUUCCACCAUCCAACACCGCAUCUUUCAAAUGGUACCUAAUUAAAAUAUUAUAAGCAACCAUUAAUCAUGUGGUCAACGUUAUUUAUUUUUUAUUUUCUCAUUAGGUUUAAAAUUUAAAUUAACAUAGUCAUUGACCAACCUCUUUGGUGGUGGUUGAAGCUGAUUAGGUUUAUGUCUUUCUCAUAUCAUCACAUCAACAUAUGUUUAAUUAACAUCAAUUGCUAUGUGUUAAAAGGUUUCCUAAAUGACACUUGAACAACUACAAAGUUUACUAUAUGUCCGUAUUUUCCAGCAAAAAAAAUGAUUCAAUACAAGUGAGGCCGUUAAUUAUAAAUAUAAAAGAAAAAAAAAAAUACUCUCUCCAAUCAAUAUGAUUUUUGCAAAUGAGAACAGAUUUAUUUGCAAUGCAACAUUCCUCUAAAAAUAUGUGCUAUUUUUCAGUUUGAUGCCUAUAAUUAGCAAUUGGUGUUACCCAUGGUCUUGAAAUAAAUAAAACGUACUUUACUUUUUUUUUAGCAAUCAGAAAUGAUAAAGGAAUACGUUUCUUACCAGCUCUCCAUAAGAAUCUUAUCCUGGUUCAUAAGCAGGAGAGGCGCCAUGGAAACACCAUCUUCGUUCUUUACCAAAAAUUUGCAGACCGGGGCCAGACCAUAGAGGCGUUGAACAACACCAUCGCCGGCUACAUCCUUGAGGGUACAAGUGAGGACGGAGUAGCUAGCCAAUAGGCGGCAGAUCCU